RNAcentral lists this transfer RNA (72 nucleotides) under Canis lupus familiaris (dog). It matches the Rfam family "tRNA". From Rfam's summary of the family: Transfer RNA (tRNA) molecules are approximately 80 nucleotides in length. Their secondary structure includes four short double-helical elements and three loops (D, anti-codon, and T loops). Further hydrogen bonds mediate the characteristic L-shaped molecular structure. tRNAs have two regions of fundamental functional importance: the anti-codon, which is responsible for specific mRNA codon recognition, and the 3' end, to which the tRNAs corresponding amino acid is attached (by aminoacyl-tRNA synthetases). tRNAs cope with the degeneracy of the genetic code in two manners: having more than one tRNA (with a specific anti-codon) for a particular amino acid; and 'wobble' base-pairing, i.e. permitting non-standard base-pairing at the 3rd anti-codon position. Lineage: Eukaryota; Metazoa; Chordata; Mammalia; Carnivora; Canidae. The record is from Rfam by way of RNAcentral. RNAcentral also lists the same sequence under 1 other name.
UCCCAGCUGGCUCAGUGGGUACAGCACAGGACUCUUGAUCUUGGGUUGUAAGUUUGAGCCCCACGUUGGGAG